Non-coding RNA from Pelobates cultripes (western spadefoot toad), 973 nucleotides. The record is from the annotation of a GenBank genome assembly. NCBI's taxonomy places the organism in Eukaryota, Metazoa, Chordata, Amphibia, Anura, Pelobatidae.
UAGUAUCUGGAUGCAAGAUGUUACAAGGGACAGUAUACACUGAGAAGCAAAACUGAGAGAGAGAGAGUGAGCAUUCAGAAAGUAUUCUGAUCCCUUCAUUUUCCCACCACAUUUUUUUAUGUUGCAAACGUAUGGUGCAGUGUUAAAAAAUUGUCACACCAAUCAAUGCACCAUGAUGGCCUAGCAAAAACUAGAUUUUCAAAAAACUGCAAUAUCACAAUUAUGCUAUGGGGAAUUCAACAAUUACUUUGUUGGAUUCCCCUUCUAGCAAAUUGUUUUGGAAAGGCACAUACCUGCCUAUAUAAGGUAUUAUGGUGUAUAUGCAUAACUAAGGAACUGUAUACAGAGAUGAAAUAUAUAUUAUGUAGCACAGAACUGGGGAAGGCUACAAAAAAAUUCAGAUGUAUUGAAGGUUCCCAAGAACACAGUGGCCUCCCUAAUUCUUAAAUGGAAGAAGUUUGGAACAGCCAUAACUUUUCCUACACCUGGCUACCCAGUCAAACUAUGCAACCUGGGGAGAUGGCCUUGGUAAGAGAGGUCACCAAGAACCCAAUUGUCACUCUCUGUGAGCUCCAGAAAACAUGUGUGGAGAGGGGAGACAUUUUCCAAAGGACAACCAUCACUACAACACUCCAUCAAUCUGACUUUAUGGUACACUGUCAAGAUGGAAGCAUCUCCUCACUGCAGGACACACAGAAGCAUGCAUGGAAUUUGCAAAAAACACCUACAGGACUCUCUAACUGUAAAAAACAAGAUUUGCUGAUCUAACGAAACAAAGAUUCAACUGUUUGGCCUCCAUUCAAAGUAUUGUAUCUGUGAUAAACCAUGUAGCACUCAUCACCUGCUCAAUACUAUCCAAAUGUUAAAGCAUGAUAGUAGUAGCAUCAUACUUUGUGGGUGUUUUUCAGUGGCAGGGACUGAGAGACAGGUCAGAUUUGAUGCAAAGCUUGGUGCAGCAAAAUGCGAGAUAUCC